Molecule: long non-coding RNA, 201 nt
Filed under: Nicotiana benthamiana
Lineage: Eukaryota; Viridiplantae; Streptophyta; Magnoliopsida; Solanales; Solanaceae
Description: long non-coding RNA (NBEN_LNC000086)
Source: RNAcentral
GUCUGGAGGAUCUGCAGCUAGACAUGCCUUAGAGGAUGUUAGUGAGUUAAGGUAGUAGAGUCUGUCUGAUUCAAGUCCAGUUCCAAUCGUCUGUCCCGUACUGCAGUCCUGCAUAAUAAAAGAGUCAUCAAUAAAAUAAAUUCCGCAAUGGAGGGCACGAGUCAAACGACUCACAGAUGCAAGAUUAAAAGGACAGUCAGG